GAGAGAGAGAGAGAGAGAGCAAGCGAAACCCAAAACCCACCAAACCCACCGAACUUCCCAUUCCUACAACGAUAGCUCCAGUAAAAGUGUACGGACCACCCAUGUCCACAGUUGUGUCCAGCUUAUCUCCAUUAACAUGUCCAAGGGCGAGCACAAAAGGCCUGAGUUCCUCAAGCUCCAGGUAGCAUGAUAGGAUGUGAAGGCAUUAAUUUCAGUUUAAUAAGGACUCAGAAGUCAGAGUUCUACUUAUGGUUUUCUCGAAUAUUGUAAUUAACAGAGUAGAGGGCAGCUGCAUGCAUUCUUAUCCUUGAUUUAUUGCUUCUUCUGGAUGGGAGCUUUGUUAGGUUGUCAAGAUUGCUGAUUUUCUCAAUCUGGUGUGACUACCGAAACUGGAACAUACUUUUGGAUGGCUUGAGAGGUUAUCGAACACAAACCAUAUGAUCACAAAGUUGAUGUUUUCAGCUUUGGAUUUCUACAGUGGGAGUUGCUUACAGGAAAGGGUCUGAGGCCUACAAUUCCGAGUCAUACUCCUCCAAAGCUUGGGGAAUUGCUUGAGAGAUGUUGGCAGCAAGAUCCAUCUUUGAGACCAGAAUUCUCCAAAAUUUUAGAUAUUUUGCGGCACAUGGCCAAGAGGGUUGCAGAUGAGAGAAUGGACCGGCAGAAGAGGAAAUCUCCUUCUAGAAGGGUAUCCGCUAUUGUACAGAGCAUCAAUUGAAGUGGCAACUGGCAAGUGAGAAGCUGUUUAUAACACAUGUAAUGAUGUAAUAAUCUUGUUUGCUGAGUUCCUUUCAUUUUGUAUUUCCUCCAUUUGGUACUUUCUUCUGUUAAUCUAACUAAUUACUAGAUAAUGCCUGAAUGGUUACUGAAUUUAGUAAUAAUCCAAUCACUUCUGUGAGUAAAUUUUUUAUUUUC
Quercus robur (English oak) is the source of this 912-nucleotide long non-coding RNA. RefSeq lists it as uncharacterized. Lineage: Eukaryota; Viridiplantae; Streptophyta; Magnoliopsida; Fagales; Fagaceae. The record is from RefSeq and is a predicted model, not a curated record. The transcript has 7 exons.